This 370-nucleotide unclassified non-coding RNA is filed under the name Hevea brasiliensis (rubber tree). The record is from RNAcentral. Lineage: Eukaryota; Viridiplantae; Streptophyta; Magnoliopsida; Malpighiales; Euphorbiaceae.
AGGAAGUAGAAUUUUGGUGACCACGCGUAAGGAAAUUGUUGCAAGUGCGAUGGGUUGCAUUGACAUAUACGAAAUAGGACAAUUGUCCGUAGAAGAUUCUUGGUCAUUAUUUAGUCAAAUUGCAUUUUUUGGUUGGAGCGAUGGAGAGCGUAAGCAAUUAGAAGACAUUGGCAGGAAAAUUGCAAGUAAGUGUAAAGGUUUGCCUCUUGCAGUGAAGACUUUAGGAAGUCUUUUGCAGAGUAAAAAAUCGAAAAAAGAGUGGCAAUCCAUAAUGGAUAAUGAGGUGUGGAAACUAGAAAAGGCUGAAGUUGAUCUUUUUCCCCAUUUAUUGCUUAGUUACAAUGACUUGUCCCCACCAUUGAGGCAAUGU